GCCAGUGACAUUUGCACAGCUCGUUUCCUCGGGUCUCCGUAAUCCCUUCAGAAUAUUAAGGCCGCGUUCCUUUCUCUUUGGUUACAUUAACUUCAAUUUUCCUUAUGACUAGGUCCCAGGAAGCCCCAGGAAGCCGAGCAGCAGCAGCAGCGGCCGCCCCCCUCUCUCCGCCCCUCCUCCACCCUUCAGGGCCCGCCCACCUGGGGGAAGCGCCUCUCCUCCCGCCGCAGCUCCCUCCCAGGCACGCUGCUGUCACACUCUCCAGGAGCUCUGAUGAAAUUCCACCUGGAUUAAGCCGGAAUGAACUUUCCAGUCUAUCUCUCUUCUCAUUUCGUCUUCUGGGUCAGCAGCUCGGGUCAGAACUCUGCUUGGAGGAAAAUGGAAGUUUCUAGAAGCAGGUAUAUCCAGCCUGCGGCCUGUGCCUGCGUGCAGCACAACACAAAAUUGUGAAGUUACUCAAAACAUAAGAAAAAGAAAAAGAAAUCUUCGUAACUCCAUUGCAUAGUUCUCAGCCUGAACUUCCUAUGUCAUGGCCAUGUCAAAAGGCUGGCCAUGCUUGGCACAGAGGAAAAAAUCUCUUCACGGAACCAACAUGGCCCAGGCAGAAAGUCCCCACUGUGGCAUCCUGGUCUCCGAAUCCGGUCUCUCCUCUAGGUCCAGAGAAGUCCUUGCCUCGUGUGGUAGCCUCAGACUGGAGACUCCCCAUGUCUCUCCACCCACCUCCACCCUCCCUGCCUGGCCACCAGUCUGUAGUUUGCUAGGCUCCCAAUGCUCCCUUCAGAGGUCAGAGUUCUAUUAGCUUUGCUAUGGCCGUGAUAGAACACCAAGAGCACUAGAGAAUGUGUAUUUGGGGCUUGGGGAAUUGGGGUCCAUAACACUAGGUCCGCUUUCCAACAGGCACAGGUAGGGCAGCUGGAGCGGGAGCUUGAGGGCUCACACCUCCAUCAAGAAGCAAAGAGAGCACACUACUAACGGUCCGAAGGUCCGAAGUUCUCGAGUUCUUGAGACUCCAUCCUUAGUGACACAGCUCCUUCAGCAAGGCCACACCUCCUAAUCCUCUCCAAACAGCUAUCAACUGGGGAUCGAUCUGCAAACGUGAGCCUAUGGGGGGUCUUUCUUAUUGUAACCACCACUGCUGGGUUGUUUUCGAGAGUAACUGCACUGCCCUGUUUGGACCUCUCUCUCUGUCUCUCUGCUUUCUACCUCUGCCUCCUAUUGCUCUGCCUCUCUGUCUUCUCUAUCAUCUCUGGAUGCCUUUCUUGAUCUAUCUUUGUAUAGAUCUUUGUAUCUCUCUGUCUCUCCAUCUCUCUCUCUCCCUUUCUCUAUUACACUGAUCUGUGUCUGUCCUCUCUCCACCCCCCCCACUUCUCUCACACCAUGUGACUAGAGAAAGGACACACACACCACACACACACACACACACACACACACACACGCACACUGUGGAUACUUGCUGUUGCAUGAGUGUGCACCAUUUGAACCCCUAAAUAUUGCUUAUAGAAGGCAGUAAUUUGCCCUAUGCUAUGAUUAACAUAAAUUGACAGCCUGGCAGGAUAGAGGGUCACCAGGGAAUAAACCCUCUGGGCAUACCUGUGAGGGAGUUUCUAGACUGGCUUAACUGACCUGGAAGGCUCACCCUGGAUGUAGGUGCCACCAUGCCAAGGAGUGUGGUCCUGGACUGAAUAAAAGGGGGAAGGGCACCAGCCUUCAUCUGUCUCUUCUUCCUGUGGAGGAUGGAUACAAUGUGACCCAUCACCUCACACCCUGCCACUGUAACUUCGUCACCAUGAUAGACUGUACCCAUUGGAGCUGGGAGCUGAAACAAAUGUUCCCUCCCUCAAGUUCCUUCUUGUCAGGUGCUAUGUCACAGUGACAGUGGAGUAUCUGUCCAUGCUCUGUCCCCGUGAUUAGUCUGAAGGGCUCUCUGUGGUUUUUCUUUUUUUUUUUUUUUUUUUUUCGGAGCUGGGGACCGAACCCAGGGCCUUGCGCUCGCUAGGCAAGCGCUCUACCGCUGAGCUAAAUCCCCAACCCCUUGGCUCUCUGUGGUUUUAACAGAAAGGUUAAAGCUCUUCCAAUAACCACGGCCCUGAGAGGCUCCUGUUGCUGCCCCACAGGUAUGCUGCUGCACAGAUGACUGGAUGUUUGUUCUGCUUCCUUGUUCCUUACGCACAUAGAGUUUUGCUGUGUUCAUAGUUUCUGUGCUUGUGUUUCUCACUCCAUAAUGACUCUUGGAAACUUCAUUUAGUCAUAGGCAUGAUCCAGGGGACACAAGACCUUAGUGAUCUUUGGACCUCAUUCAGUUUGUCUGCUUUGAUACAGAGUCUCCUGAAGUGGAAACUUCUGGUUUCUUUGGAAAGUCAGUUAUGUCAGUUCUAACACUUUGCUGGGGCACACAGGUGAAAGGAUAUCUUGCUAAACCAGACAUGUGAAAGGACUCUUGAUGAAGGAAUAUAAAUGUGGCCCCACAGACAGUGGGAGACUAGUACUGAGCAUUGAUUUGGUUUGCUCCGCCUUCCUAUUCUUCAGCUAUGCCUCGGAUGAGAGAAGCUCGCCCAAGAACUGCUGGGAAGUUCCUCCACAGCCUCACCUCGGGCUGGCUGGCAAACCUUGCAGUUCCUUCAGAACUGAACUACAGCUGCUGCCUCUUGCCUGGUGUCGGACUGCUGGAGACUGAUCUGUAUGCCGUCUGCUGGUCUUAUGUCAACUUGACACAAGCUAGGUUUAUCUGAAAGGAGGGAACCUCGAUUGAGAAAAUGAGUCCAUAAGAUCCAGCUGUAGGGCAUUUUCUUAAUUACUGAUUGAUGAAGGAGGGCUCAGCCCAUAUGGGUAGAGCCAUCCCUGGGCUGGUGCUCCUGGGUUCUAUAAGAAGCAGACUGAGCAAGCCACGGGGAGCAAGCCAGUCAGCAGCACUCCUCCAUGGCUUCUGCAUCAGCUCCUGCCUCCAGGUUCCUGCCCUGUUUGGGUUCCUGUCCUGAAUUCCUUCAACCGGGAACAGUGCUGUGGACCUGUAAACCAAUAAGCCCUUUCCUCCCCAAGUUUCUUUGGUCAUGGUGUUUCAUUGUAGCAAUGGUAACCCUAAGAGACUGUUCAUUCAUUUCUAUGCUGUGAGCUGACCACUUUGCCUGCCUGCCUUUUUAAGUUUUAUUUGUUUGUUAGCGUACUUGUUUUUUUAUACAGGGUAUCUGGCCCAGCCUACCGUAGAACUCCAAAAGUAUCCAAGAACUGACCUUAAACUUCAGAUCUUCCUGCCGUUUACUCCCAAGGUCUGUGCCAGUCCUGCUUCUCUCCCUGGCACCAGGAAGGAUACUGCCUCAGGUCCCCCAAAGCAAAAGGCAGCUCUCAGAGCAUCCUCCACUGGCUAGCAUGGUCAGAACCCAAGCCCAGCCCAGCCUACUCCUCUGACAGCUCCAACUCAAUUGAUUCCCAGGAAGCUUCGCUGCACCUCCCUCACAGCCCAAGAUGCCAAAUGCUGCCAGCUGUCGUGGGGCAGGAGGAGUGUUUGAUCUGUUAUCCCCAAAUGCCACAGCAAAAGUUAAGUUCAGUCUCCGCUGUCUGACUGACUUCUCCUUAUCCCAGCCUUGGCUCCAGUGCCAGGCAUCAAAGACAAAGGAGCUCACCCCUGCCUGGCACCCAAGUGCAGGGCUUCAGUUGGUAUCGAAAUCACAAGCCGCCGCUCACACAGCCUGAGAAAGACAUGGGAAAUAAUUUAUUCACACUGGGAAUGCUUCGCUGGGAUGCAGCCACUGAAGGGAAAUAGAUGCGUGGUUUAAGAAGUAUUUAAGGAAUAGAAUUCCAAUGUGAGCGGGGGGGGGGGGGGGGGGAGAAGCAAGAUACAAUGUGGCUGCAAGUUUGUAAAAAUAAACAAGAAUAAAAAGGCAGAAAA
Non-coding RNA from Rattus norvegicus (Norway rat), 3883 nucleotides. Lineage: Eukaryota; Metazoa; Chordata; Mammalia; Rodentia; Muridae. The record is from RefSeq and is a predicted model, not a curated record.